GCGUUUUUAGUAUAUUAGUACAUUUACCUUCCAAGUAAGAAGAUUAUUUAACAUAAAAAACACA
Molecule: transfer RNA, 64 nt
Filed under: Eisenia nordenskioldi
Lineage: Eukaryota; Metazoa; Annelida; Clitellata; Crassiclitellata; Lumbricidae
Description: tRNA-Gly
Source: RNAcentral